AUUGAACGCUGGCGGAAUGCUUUACACAUGCAAGUCGAACGGUAGAGGGGGCAACCCCUUGAGAGUGGCGAACGGGUGAGUAAUAUAUCGGAACGUGCCCAGUCGUGGGGGAUAACGUAGCGAAAGUUACGCUAAUACCGCAUACGAUCUAAGGAUGAAAGCGGGGGACUCGCAAGAGCCUCGCGCGAUUGGAGCGGCCGAUAUCAGAUUAGGUAGUUGGUGGGGUAAAGGCUCACCAAGCCAACGAUCUGUAGCUGGUCUGAGAGGACGACCAGCCACACUGGAACUGAGACACGGUCCAGACUCCUACGGGAGGCAGCAGUGGGGGAAUUUUGGACAAUGGACGCAAGUCUGAUCCAGCCAUUCCGCGUGCAGGAUGAAGGCCCUCGGGUUGUAAACUGCUUUUGUACGGAACGAAAAGGUUUCUAUUAAUACUAGGAGCUCAUGACGGUACCCUAAGAAUAAGCACCGGCUAACUACGUG
RNAcentral lists this ribosomal RNA (483 nucleotides) under uncultured bacterium. Its description in RNAcentral is "bacterial SSU rRNA". It matches the Rfam family "Bacterial small subunit ribosomal RNA", at positions 30 to 507 of the family's 1533-position model. The record is from RNAcentral.